Non-coding RNA from Podarcis lilfordi (Lilford's wall lizard), 69 nucleotides. Lineage: Eukaryota; Metazoa; Chordata; Lepidosauria; Squamata; Lacertidae. The record is from the annotation of a GenBank genome assembly.
GCUGUGGCUCAGCGGCAGGACAUGUGCUUUGAAUGCAGAAGGUCCCAGGUUCAUUCCCUGGUAUCUCCA